GACAACUUUACCAAAAGAGUCAUAAGAUUGCUUCAAAUUACAGAAAGUACCACGCACGUGCAUGUGAUGGAUGAUGAUCACGCCGUUGAUUAUCAUCAACCAACACUCGAUAAGCGUCGACACCAUUACGCGAAAGUUGAAACCGAUCCACAUUAAUUAUUUAUAUGUAUUGUAAACUGGAUCGAGUCACCGGUUUUGGUAUAAUACCUUCUUUUUCCUUUUUCUUUGUUCAUCCGCUUUUUAAUUA
This is a long non-coding RNA of Arabidopsis thaliana (thale cress), 247 nucleotides long. RefSeq annotates it as other RNA. The transcript has a single exon. The record is from RefSeq. NCBI's taxonomy places the organism in Eukaryota, Viridiplantae, Streptophyta, Magnoliopsida, Brassicales, Brassicaceae.